UGAAACUGAUCUCCCCGUGAAGAAGCGGGGAUAUACAUAUAAGACGAGAAGACCCCAUGGAGCUUUAAACCUGACAGCACCCGCUCAUUCUAUACCCCAUUAUUUGCCCGACCCCUGUCUGCUCAGUUUUAGGUUGGGGUGACCACGGAGUAUAAAAUAACCUCCAUGAAGAAGGGGAUAUUUCCCUUAUUAGAGAACCACACUUCCAAGAACUAAUAAAUUAAUUUUCAAUGACCCGAUACCCGAUAAUCGAUCAACGAACCAAGUUACCCUGGGGAUAACAGCGCAAUCCACCCUGAAAGCCCUUAUUAACAGGUGGGUUUACGACCUCGAUGUUGGAUCAGGGUAUCCCAGUGGUGCAGCAGCUACUGAGGGUUCGUUUGUUCAACGAUUAAAACCCU
RNAcentral lists this ribosomal RNA (401 nucleotides) under Boophis aff. boehmei MV-2005. RNAcentral describes it as "partial 16S ribosomal RNA". It matches the Rfam family "Bacterial large subunit ribosomal RNA", at positions 2037 to 2597 of the family's 2925-position model. Lineage: Eukaryota; Metazoa; Chordata; Amphibia; Anura; Mantellidae. The record is from RNAcentral. RNAcentral also lists the same sequence under 1 other name.